GGAAAGAGAAAGAAAGGGAGUAGGAAGCAACUUAAAUUGGUCACGACACUCUAGGUUAGUAACCCUGACUACUUCUAUAACUCUGAAUAUUGUGGUUGCACUGUCUGAUUUUUUUUAUUUCGUCUGCAUAUUUAUUUUGUUUUUAUUUCGAUCUUUGCAUGAUCCAUGAUUAUGCUUUUUUUGUCCGUUUCAAGGAUUUUUUUUAUAUUUCAUUUAGUUCUUAUUUACACUCUUUUUAUUUCAUUUAAUACUUUUUAAAAUUAUUAUCAUGUUAUUAGGAAACUAUAGAAAAUAAUGAUC
Molecule: long non-coding RNA, 300 nt
Filed under: Lathyrus oleraceus (garden pea)
Lineage: Eukaryota; Viridiplantae; Streptophyta; Magnoliopsida; Fabales; Fabaceae
Description: Pisum sativum (pea) long non-coding RNA (PSAT_LNC021407)
Source: RNAcentral